AAAAGAGAAACAGAGAUUGAUUCCUCUGCCUGCAUGCCCUUUGUUGUUCCUUCGUUCCUCUUUUUUUCUCUUUUCUCUUUUCUGUUCUCU
This 90-nucleotide non-coding RNA is filed under the name Chromera velia. The record is from RNAcentral. Lineage: Eukaryota; Chromeraceae.